CGCCCGGCGCGGGCUCGGCGGAGGGUCGGGGGGCGGCAGGGGCCGGGGUGGCGCGGUGUGCCCGCGGCGUGCCCGCGGCGCUCUGGUCGCGGCAGAUUCGCCCCGGCCGCCGCCCUCGCCGCAGCCUGAGGGGCGCUGAGGAGAACGGGAGGUUUUCGGAAGAGGCGCACAGAGGAGCCCCGGGCUGACCGCCGGCCCCGCCCGCAGGCUCACGCCAUGCUGCGGGCGCUUCCCCGUCUCUGAGGAGAGUCGAAGGGGCGUCAGGGGACGGCGGCGACGCGAUUGCUAAGUCUGAGCGACGAGAGGCAAACAUGGCCCAAGCACCCACUGAUCCGAGUAGUGCAGAAACUGCUGACCCAGAGGAGAGUUCUCCAAACAUGAUAGUCUACAGAAAGGUAAGGAUUUGAACCUGUGGCAAAAAUCCCAUUUCUAUGUGGUUGAUUCAUGAAAGAAUCCCAU
Molecule: long non-coding RNA, 459 nt
Organism: Lonchura striata (white-rumped munia)
Lineage: Eukaryota; Metazoa; Chordata; Aves; Passeriformes; Estrildidae
Source: Ensembl